RNAcentral lists this ribosomal RNA (433 nucleotides) under uncultured bacterium. RNAcentral's name for it is "partial 16S ribosomal RNA". It matches the Rfam family "Bacterial small subunit ribosomal RNA", at positions 29 to 507 of the family's 1533-position model. The record is from RNAcentral.
AACGAACGCUGGCGGCAUGCCUAACACAUGCAAGUCGAACGAGACCUUCGGGUCUAGUGGCGCACGGGUGCGUAACGCGUGGGAACCUGCACUUAGGUUCGGAAUAACUCCCCGAAAGGGGUGCUAAUACCGGAUAAUGUCUUAGGACCAAAGAUUUAUCGCCUUUGGAUGGGCCCGCGUUGGAUUAGCUAGUUGGUAGGGUAAAAGCCUACCAAGGCGCCGAUCCAUAGCUGGUCUGUGAGGAUGAUCAGCCACACUGGGACUGAGACGCGGCCCAGACUCCUACGGGAGGCAGCAGUGGGGAAUAUUGGACAAUGGGCUAAAGCCUGAUCCAGCAAUGCCGCGUGAGUGAUGAAGGCCUGAGGGUUGUAAAGCUCUUUUACCCGGGAUGAUAAUGACAGUACCGGGAGAAUAAGCUCCGGCUAACUCCGUG